Molecule: ribosomal RNA, 72 nt
Filed under: Pseudoalteromonas sp. XI10
Lineage: Bacteria; Pseudomonadati; Pseudomonadota; Gammaproteobacteria; Alteromonadales; Pseudoalteromonadaceae
Description: partial 16S ribosomal RNA
Rfam family: Bacterial small subunit ribosomal RNA
Source: RNAcentral
UUUAAUUGAAGAGUUUGAUCAUGGCUCAGAUUGAACGCUGGCGGCAGGCCUAACACAUGCAAGUCGAGCGGA